CAGCCGCCACGGUAAUACGAAGGGGGCUAGCGUUGUUCGGAUUUACUGGGCGUAAAGGGUGCGUAGGCGGAUUGUUAAGUCAGGGGUGAAAUCCCAAGGCUCAACCUUGGAACUGCCUUUGAUACUGGCGAUCUUGAGUCUGGGAGAGGUGAGUGGAACUGCGAGUGUAGAGGUGAAAUUCGUAGAUAUUCGCAAGAACACCAGUGGCGAAGGCGGCUCACUGGCCCGGAACUGACGCUGAGGCACGACAGCGUGGGGAGCAAACAGGAUUAGAUACCCGUGUAGUCCCUGUCUCUUAUAC
This 301-nucleotide ribosomal RNA is filed under the name uncultured bacterium. Its description in RNAcentral is "partial 16S ribosomal RNA". It matches the Rfam family "Bacterial small subunit ribosomal RNA", at positions 509 to 807 of the family's 1533-position model. The record is from RNAcentral.